RNAcentral lists this ribosomal RNA (486 nucleotides) under Anoplodactylus viridintestinalis. Its description in RNAcentral is "partial 16S ribosomal RNA". The stretch from base 360 to 486 matches the Rfam family "Bacterial large subunit ribosomal RNA", at positions 2473 to 2600 of the family's 2925-position model. The record is from RNAcentral. Lineage: Eukaryota; Metazoa; Arthropoda; Pycnogonida; Pantopoda; Phoxichilidiidae.
GUUUGAAGAUUUUUUAAUUUUAAAUAUGACCUGCUCAAUGAAUAAUAAUUUAAAUAGCUGCAGUAAUUUGACUGUACAAAGGUAGCAUAAUAAUUUGUCUUUUAAUUGAAGACUGGAAUGAAGGGUUAAACAUAAAAAAUACUGUCUAAAUUUUUAUUUUAGAAAUUAAUUUUUUUGUGAAAAAUCAAAAAUUAUAUAAAGGGACGAAAAGACCCUAUCAAGUUUUAUAUAAAAUUUUUCUUUAUAUGAAAGAUUUUGUAUUUAUCUGGGGCGGAUAAAAAAUAUUUAACUUUUUUAAAAUUUAAUAAUUAAUUAAUUUAUUAACAAUCUUUUUUUAAAAAAUUUUUAAUUACUGUAGGGGUAACAGCGUAAUUUUUCUUUUAAGUACAAAUUAAAAUAAAAGUUUACGACCUCGAUGUUGGAUUAUUUUUACCUAUAAAUGAAGAAGUUUAAAAGGUAUGUCUGUUCGACAUAUAAAAAUUUACA